RNAcentral lists this ribosomal RNA (439 nucleotides) under uncultured bacterium. RNAcentral describes it as "partial 16S ribosomal RNA". It matches the Rfam family "Bacterial small subunit ribosomal RNA", at positions 339 to 795 of the family's 1533-position model. The record is from RNAcentral.
CUACGGGUGGCUGCAGUGAGGAAUAUUGCACAAUGGGGGGAACCCUGAUGCAGCAACGCCGCGUGGAGGAUGACGCAUUUCGGUGUGUAAACUCCUUUUAUAUGUCAAGAAAAUGACGGUAGCAUAUGAAUAAGCACCGGCUAACUCCGUGCCAGCAGCCGCGGUAAUACCGAGGGUGCAAGCGUUACUCGGAAUCACUGGGCGUAAAGGGCGCGUAGGCGGGUUGGAAAGUCAGGUGUGAAAUCCUACAGCUUAACUGUAGAACUGCACUUGAAACUUCUAAUCUAGAGUAUGGGAGGGGGAGAUGGAAUUAGUGGUGUAGGGGUAAAAUCCGUAGAUAUCACUAGGAAUACCUAAAGCGAAGGCGAUCUCCUGGAACAUUACUGACGCUAAGGCGUGAAAGCGUGGGGAGCAAACAGGAUUAGAUACCCCUGUAGUC